GGGUCAGUAGGUUGGUCGUGCCACCGGUACGUACUGGUCUCACUGAUUCCUCCUUCCUGAAGAACCGUAAUGCCAUUAAUUUGGUGUUGCGGGGAAACAGGACUGUUACUUUGAAAAAAUUAGAGUGUUUAAGCAAGCUAACGCUUGAAUACAUUAGCAUGGAAUAAUGAAAUAGGACGAUCGAUCCUAUUUUGUUGGUUUCUAGGAUUGACGUA
This 215-nucleotide ribosomal RNA is filed under the name Glomeromycotina sp. RNAcentral's name for it is "partial small subunit ribosomal RNA". The stretch from base 40 to 215 matches the Rfam family "Eukaryotic small subunit ribosomal RNA", at positions 686 to 864 of the family's 1831-position model. Lineage: Eukaryota; Fungi; Glomeromycota. The record is from RNAcentral.